GAAAAAGCAGUACAUCAUCAAACACACCAGUGUUUUCUUGCUUACAUAAAUAAAUAUUUUAAAUGUAUCAAUUUCCCCAUUCUCAGAUGUUCCAUUACACCAUAUUCACUUAUCAUUAGGGUUAUUUGAUGAUGUAUCAUUUGCUCUUCACAUACUCUAAAUUCGCACUAAAAAUAUGGAAAAUUAAAACAAAAGCGUAAUAAUUCAUUUCUUCCACGGGUUAGGGGGAAAAAAAAUAAAAAGGAUUAUAUCUUUUUCUAAAUAAAAUUGUAAAAUCAUGCCUGGCCCCAUUCUGUCUGCCUUCAUCCACGCAGAAUAUCAAGGCAAAGAAGUUCUCAAAUUACUACAUUAAACUCCAUCUGUGGUACCGGCCUUGGAUUUAGAGAGCCAUGUUCAGAUUGUAACACAUUGUUGACAAGGGUAACUUCGUCAUUGCCCAGCAUGUCCCUGCUGCUACCGCCGCUGCCGAUUGUGGCAGUGGCAGAGGCGGUGGUUUCAGACUCAAAAACAACCAUUUUACACCUUUCAGAGUGUGUUCUUCGAAAGAAAAUCACUUUAAAUUUUUCCCACUACACAAUGCAAAAUAAAACGCAGCGUUCUUUCUUCUUUCUCUUUCUGGGAAACUUAGAGAGAGAGAGAGAGAGAGAGAGA
This 651-nucleotide long non-coding RNA is filed under the name Olea europaea (common olive). RNAcentral's name for it is "long non-coding RNA (OEUR_LNC007106)". The record is from RNAcentral. Lineage: Eukaryota; Viridiplantae; Streptophyta; Magnoliopsida; Lamiales; Oleaceae.